Molecule: ribosomal RNA, 634 nt
Filed under: Bifidobacterium pseudocatenulatum
Lineage: Bacteria; Bacillati; Actinomycetota; Actinomycetes; Bifidobacteriales; Bifidobacteriaceae
Description: bacterial SSU rRNA
Rfam family: Bacterial small subunit ribosomal RNA
Source: RNAcentral
ACUCAAAGGAAUUGACGGGGGCCCGCACAAGCAGUGGAGUAUGUGGUUUAAUUCGACGCAACGCGAAGAACCUUACCAAGUCUUGACAUCCUGCGACGCACAUAGAAAUAUGUGUUUCCUUCGGGACGCAGAGACAGGUGGUGCAUGGUUGUCGUCAGCUCGUGUCGUGAGAUGUUGGGUUAAGUCCCGCAACGAGCGCAACCCUUAUGGUCAGUUACUACGCAAGAGGACUCUGGCCAGACUGCCGUUGACAAAACGGAGGAAGGUGGGGAUGACGUCAAAUCAUCAUGCCCUUUAUGACUUGGGCUACACACGUACUACAAUGGCGUUAAACAAAGAGAAGCAAGACCGCGAGGUGGAGCAAAACUCAGAAACAACGUCCCAGUUCGGACUGCAGGCUGCAACUCGCCUGCACGAAGUCGGAAUUGCUAGUAAUCGCAGAUCAGCAUGCUGCGGUGAAUACGUUCCCGGGCCUUGUACACACCGCCCGUCACACCAUGAGAGCCGGGGGGACCCGAAGUCGGUAGUCUAACCGCAAGGAGGACGCCGCCGAAGGUAAAACUGGUGAUUGGGGUGAAGUCGUAACAAGGUAGCCGUAGGAGAACCUGCGGCUGGAUCACCUCCUUUCUAAGGA